This 2918-nucleotide ribosomal RNA is filed under the name Bacillus anthracis (anthrax bacterium). Its description in RNAcentral is "bacterial LSU rRNA". It matches the Rfam family "Bacterial large subunit ribosomal RNA". Lineage: Bacteria; Bacillati; Bacillota; Bacilli; Caryophanales; Bacillaceae. The record is from RNAcentral.
UAAGUUAGAAAGGGCGCACGGUGGAUGCCUUGACACUAGGAGUCGAUGAAGGACGGGACUAACGCCGAUAUGCUUCGGGGAGCUGUAAGUAAGCUUUGAUCCGAAGAUUUCCGAAUGGGGAAACCCACCAUACGUAAUGGUAUGGUAUCCUUAUCUGAAUACAUAGGGUAAGGAAGACAGACCCAGGGAACUGAAACAUCUAAGUACCUGGAGGAAGAGAAAGCAAAUGCGAUUUCCUGAGUAGCGGCGAGCGAAACGGAACAUAGCCCAAACCAAGAGGCUUGCCUCUUGGGGUUGUAGGACAUUCUAUACGGAGUUACAAAGGAACGAGGUAGACGAAGCGACCUGGAAAGGUCCGUCGUAGAGGGUAACAACCCCGUAGUCGAAACUUCGUUCUCUCUUGAAUGUAUCCUGAGUACGGCGGAACACGUGAAAUUCCGUCGGAAUCUGGGAGGACCAUCUCCCAAGGCUAAAUACUCCCUAGUGAUCGAUAGUGAACCAGUACCGUGAGGGAAAGGUGAAAAGCACCCCGGAAGGGGAGUGAAAGAGAUCCUGAAACCGUGUGCCUACAAAUAGUCAGAGCCCGUUAAUGGGUGAUGGCGUGCCUUUUGUAGAAUGAACCGGCGAGUUACGAUCCCGUGCGAGGUUAAGCUGAAGAGGCGGAGCCGCAGCGAAAGCGAGUCUGAAUAGGGCGUUUAGUACGUGGUCGUAGACCCGAAACCAGGUGAUCUACCCAUGUCCAGGGUGAAGUUCAGGUAACACUGAAUGGAGGCCCGAACCCACGCACGUUGAAAAGUGCGGGGAUGAGGUGUGGGUAGCGGAGAAAUUCCAAUCGAACCUGGAGAUAGCUGGUUCUCCCCGAAAUAGCUUUAGGGCUAGCCUUAAGUGUAAGAGUCUUGGAGGUAGAGCACUGAUUGGACUAGGGGUCCUCAUCGGAUUACCGAAUUCAGUCAAACUCCGAAUGCCAAUGACUUAUCCUUAGGAGUCAGACUGCGAGUGAUAAGAUCCGUAGUCAAAAGGGAAACAGCCCAGACCGCCAGCUAAGGUCCCAAAGUGUGUAUUAAGUGGAAAAGGAUGUGGAGUUGCUUAGACAACUAGGAUGUUGGCUUAGAAGCAGCCACCAUUUAAAGAGUGCGUAAUAGCUCACUAGUCGAGUGACUCUGCGCCGAAAAUGUACCGGGGCUAAAUACACCACCGAAGCUGCGGAUUGAUACCAAUGGUAUCAGUGGUAGGGGAGCGUUCUAAGGGCAGUGAAGUCAGACCGGAAGGACUGGUGGAGUGCUUAGAAGUGAGAAUGCCGGUAUGAGUAGCGAAAGACGGGUGAGAAUCCCGUCCACCGAAUGCCUAAGGUUUCCUGAGGAAGGCUCGUCCGCUCAGGGUUAGUCAGGACCUAAGCCGAGGCCGACAGGCGUAGGCGAUGGACAACAGGUUGAUAUUCCUGUACCACCUCUUUAUCGUUUGAGCAAUGGAGGGACGCAGAAGGAUAGAAGAAGCGUGCGAUUGGUUGUGCACGUCCAAGCAGUUAGGCUGAUAAGUAGGCAAAUCCGCUUAUCGUGAAGGCUGAGCUGUGAUGGGGAAGCUCCUUAUGGAGCGAAGUCUUUGAUUCCCCGCUGCCAAGAAAAGCUUCUAGCGAGAUAAAAGGUGCCUGUACCGCAAACCGACACAGGUAGGCGAGGAGAGAAUCCUAAGGUGUGCGAGAGAACUCUGGUUAAGGAACUCGGCAAAAUGACCCCGUAACUUCGGGAGAAGGGGUGCUUUCUUAACGGAAAGCCGCAGUGAAUAGGCCCAAGCGACUGUUUAGCAAAAACACAGCUCUCUGCGAAGCCGUAAGGCGAAGUAUAGGGGGUGACACCUGCCCGGUGCUGGAAGGUUAAGGAGAGGGGUUAGCGUAAGCGAAGCUCUGAACUGAAGCCCCAGUAAACGGCGGCCGUAACUAUAACGGUCCUAAGGUAGCGAAAUUCCUUGUCGGGUAAGUUCCGACCCGCACGAAAGGUGUAACGAUUUGGGCACUGUCUCAACCAGAGACUCGGUGAAAUUAUAGUACCUGUGAAGAUGCAGGUUACCCGCGACAGGACGGAAAGACCCCGUGGAGCUUUACUGUAGCCUGAUAUUGAAUUUUGGUACAGUUUGUACAGGAUAGGCGGGAGCCUUUGAAACCGGAGCGCUAGCUUCGGUGGAGGCGCUGGUGGGAUACCGCCCUGACUGUAUUGAAAUUCUAACCUACGGGUCUUAUCGACCCGGGAGACAGUGUCAGGUGGGCAGUUUGACUGGGGCGGUCGCCUCCUAAAGUGUAACGGAGGCGCCCAAAGGUUCCCUCAGAAUGGUUGGAAAUCAUUCGUAGAGUGCAAAGGCAUAAGGGAGCUUGACUGCGAGACCUACAAGUCGAGCAGGGACGAAAGUCGGGCUUAGUGAUCCGGUGGUUCCGCAUGGAAGGGCCAUCGCUCAACGGAUAAAAGCUACCCCGGGGAUAACAGGCUUAUCUCCCCCAAGAGUCCACAUCGACGGGGAGGUUUGGCACCUCGAUGUCGGCUCAUCGCAUCCUGGGGCUGUAGUCGGUCCCAAGGGUUGGGCUGUUCGCCCAUUAAAGCGGUACGCGAGCUGGGUUCAGAACGUCGUGAGACAGUUCGGUCCCUAUCCGUCGUGGGCGUAGGAAAUUUGAGAGGAGCUGUCCUUAGUACGAGAGGACCGGGAUGGACGCACCGCUGGUGUACCAGUUGUUCUGCCAAGGGCAUAGCUGGGUAGCUAUGUGCGGAAGGGAUAAGUGCUGAAAGCAUCUAAGCAUGAAGCCCCCCUCAAGAUGAGAUUUCCCAUAGCGUAAGCUAGUAAGAUCCCUGAAAGAUGAUCAGGUUGAUAGGUUCGAGGUGGAAGCAUGGUGACAUGUGGAGCUGACGAAUACUAAUAGAUCGAGGACUUAACCA